This 519-nucleotide ribosomal RNA is filed under the name Megophrys sp. ENS_17403. RNAcentral describes it as "partial large subunit ribosomal RNA". It matches the Rfam family "Bacterial large subunit ribosomal RNA", at positions 1940 to 2624 of the family's 2925-position model. Lineage: Eukaryota; Metazoa; Chordata; Amphibia; Anura; Megophryidae. The record is from RNAcentral.
UUCUGACCGUUGCAAAGGUAGCGUAAUCACUUGUUUUUUAAUUAAAGACUAGUAUGAAUGGCCUAACGAGGACUCAACUGUCUCCUUUAUCUAAUCAGUGAAAUUGAUCUCCUCGUGCAGAAACGAGGAUAAACCCAUAAGACGAGAAGACCCUAUGGAGCUUUAAACUUUAAUCAACCACUUUUUUCCCAUAUCCAAGGAACUAACCCCAAAUUUUGUAAGAUUUAUUAAAGUUUUAGGUUGGGGCGACCACGGAGAAAAAUAAACCCUCCAUGAUGAUUUUAAACCGAGAGCCACAACUCUAAAUAUUAAGUCCCUUAACUUCCAUUGACCCACUUUGUGACCAACGAACCAAGUUACCCUAGGGAUAACAGCGCCAUCCAUUUCAAGAGUCCCUAUCGACAAGUGGGUUUACGACCUCGAUGUUGGAUCAGGGCAUCCAAGUGGUGCAACCGCUACUAACGGUUCGUUUGUUCAACGAUUAAAGCCUUACGUGAUCUGAGUUCAGAACCGGAGAGA